Molecule: non-coding RNA, 30 nt
Filed under: Mus musculus (house mouse)
Lineage: Eukaryota; Metazoa; Chordata; Mammalia; Rodentia; Muridae
Source: RNAcentral
UUAUGACUUGCAGGGUCUGAUAGUACCCAG